CCUACGGGUGGCUGCAGUGGGGAAUAUUGGACAAUGGGCGAAAGCCUGAUCCAGCCAUGCCGCGUGUGUGAAGAAGGCCUUCGGGUUGUAAAGCACUUUCAGUGGGGAAGAAAGCCUUGGGGCUAAUACGCUCGAGGAAGGACAUCACCCACAGAAGAAGCACCGGCUAACUCCGUGCCAGCAGCCGCGGUAAUACGGAGGGUGCGAGCGUUAAUCGGAAUUACUGGGCGUAAAGCGCGCGUAGGCGGUCUGAUAAGCCGGUUGUGAAAGCCCCGGGCUCAACCUGGGAACGGCAUCCGGAACUGUCAGGCUAGAGUGCAGGAGAGGAAGGUAGAAUUCCCGGUGUAGCGGUGAAAUGCGUAGAGAUCGGGAGGAAUACCAGUGGCGAAGGCGGCCUUCUGGACUGACACUGACGCUGAGGUGCGAAAGCGUGGGUAGCAAACAGGAUUAGAUACCCGAGUAGUC
This 465-nucleotide ribosomal RNA is filed under the name Vreelandella stevensii. RNAcentral's name for it is "partial 16S ribosomal RNA". It matches the Rfam family "Bacterial small subunit ribosomal RNA", at positions 338 to 795 of the family's 1533-position model. The record is from RNAcentral. Lineage: Bacteria; Pseudomonadati; Pseudomonadota; Gammaproteobacteria; Oceanospirillales; Halomonadaceae.